UACGGAGGGUGCAAGCGUUGUUCGGAAUUCCUGGGCGUAAAGGGCUCGUAGGCGGCCAACUAAGUCGGAUGUGAAAUCCCCAGGCUUAACCUGGGAACUGCAUCCGAUACUGGAUGGCUUGAAUCCGGGAGAGGGAUGCAGAAUUCCUGGUGUAGCGGUGAAAUGCGUAGAUAUCAGGAGGAAUACCGGUGGCGAAAGCGACUCUCUGGACGGCAACUGACGCUGAGGCACGAAAGCGUGGGGAGCAAACAGG
RNAcentral lists this ribosomal RNA (253 nucleotides) under uncultured bacterium. Its description in RNAcentral is "partial 16S ribosomal RNA". It matches the Rfam family "Bacterial small subunit ribosomal RNA", at positions 524 to 776 of the family's 1533-position model. The record is from RNAcentral.